GGAAGGUAAUCGGACUCAAGAUAAAUACUCACAGGUCUGGGACACAUGUCUGGAGAAGAAAUCUCUUCUUUUUCAUCUUCCAAUUCAGCUCUUAAAAAGCAACUUGGAACACUGAGUGACUGUUCCUCAAUAUUUUGGGGAGAGGCCUAGUCACUGCAACAGCACGGGAAUGCGGAUUAUAACCUGUCAUGUGGAGGAAUGGAAACAAACAGGCAGCGUUGGAACCACUGCUUACCUCACUGCACACACCAGAUCCCGUAAGAUGAAAGUCCACCUCCCUGGACAUCCCUGGGUCAACUCGGCUAUUUCUGCAGAAGACUUCAUUUUGGAAAUGAGUAGCUACGAGAAAAGGCUCCCUGCAGAACCCAUUCUGAAGGUAACUUGUGGUGGACAGUGAAGUUUUUAGUGACUUCAUUUUGAAGGGAGAUAACGGCAAUGGUAAUUUUCGUUAGGGCUCUGCUUGGCUGUUUCAGCAGGUCUGGUAGCCAUGGACACUUGUCCAGUUGUGCGUAGAGUGAGCUUCAGCUGCUGCAACGAAUUCAUGCUGACUGGUUUUGGCUUCUUUAAUUUUUUUCCUGGAUGCUGUUGCUUCUAUCAUCCUGCCUUAUUAAGUAGUCUGAACUCAUAAGCUAGCUACUCUUGAUGAGCUACAGGGCAGCUCUGAGAGAGCUUUUACUCCACUGACCUGCUCACAUGGACCACACUUAUAUCCAACAGUUCCUGAUGAACAGCUUUAACAAAAUAAGCCAUUUUUAAUUUAUCUUCCAGCUGAAGUUGGAGAGAGACCAUAAGGAAACUUUUGGCUUUAUGUAUCAUUUGUUACUAUAUUAUUUAACAUGUUCUGAAACAGUCUUGAAAAGGAAUCACCAAACCACUUGUGGCCACUGUGUUUACUUGGUUUCGUGCAUGUUGAUUUGCAUAGCUACAUUUUUUUCAUUGAAUUGAGCAUGGUACAAUAUGCAAAUACGCACGCUGAUUACUGGAGUAUAUAAACACACCACUAAUAGAAAUGUAGGGUUUUUUCUAUUUCAAAUAUUUUUAUUAUGAAUAAUGGUACAGCUAGUUGAAGUAUAUCUUUUAUUCGUGUAUAUGUAUACCCAAAAACCACUGUCACAAAUCGAAUAUACAAACAUAUAAGAAUAUAAUUCAUUUUACUCAGCCAGACAUUAAAAUUACUUGCUAAACUGUAUGUAAUUCUCUUUGGAGCAGCCUUUUUGGGGAAAAUCUAUUUUAUGUUUUUUAAGUUAUUAGGGCAAUGUUUAGGUUUUUGUUGUUGUUGUUUGUUUGCUUGCUUUUGAGCCCAGACAGGCCUCAAACUCAAUAUGUAGUCUAGAUGGCCUUGAAUCCUCGAUCCUCCUACCUCAUAAAACAUUAAACGAGGUUAUCAAAACCCUUUUCAGGAACCUUGAUGGACCUCAAAUCUAAAUGGCCUUGGCUCCAGAGAUGAGUUCAAAGAAAAAUAUCAUAUGAUACUGGGUUCAUUUUUGAAUGUGAAAAUGUUCUGCUGUUUAACAUCUCCUUACAGAGCUCUGAGUUUUCCUUCACAAAGAUCUUGUAUUAUUAACCUUAUAUCAAAGUACUUCAUAUUUUUUGAAUUCUAUGUAUGUAUGUAUGUAUGUAUGUAUGUAUGUAUGUAUCUAUCUAUCUAUCUAUCUAUCUAUCUAUCUAUCUAUCUAUCUAUAUUUUGAGACAGGUUCUCUCUAGGUUGGUCUCAGACUCUAGAUUAAGCUGGCUUCAAAGUCACAAAAGUCACAAUUCUCCUACCCCGAUUUCCUGAGUACUGAAGUUAGAAGCAUGUGUCACCAUGCCCAAUUCUACUUGUAACUUUUAAAAAAUGAUACUCUUAAAAGCCAGCUUUUGUUUGUCUAAGACAUAUAACUGAGGGGUUUUACAUUAAAAUUUACUAGGUAUAUUAUACACAAUGGAGGCUUAUCUCCAUACUUGUAUAUAAUGUAUCAGAUUCAGCUAUUAUCCUCUCUUGUCUCCUUCCUACUCUUCUAGAUCCUUUAUCUCUUUCCUACUAAUCCUCCUACUUUCAAAUAUUUCUUUAAAGAUUUACUUUUAUUUGUACCUGUGUGUGUGUGUGUGUGUGUGUGUGUGUGUGUGUGUGUGUACACACGCACGCACACAUGCACAAGAAAACCAGAAGAGGGCACAGGAUCCUCUGAAGCUAGGGGUUACAGGUAGUUGUGAGAUGCCUGACAUGGAACCAAACUGAGUCCUUUGAAGGGUGGGAAGCACCCUUAAUCACUGAGCCAUUUCUCCAGCACUGCCCCCACCCAGUCCCUAUUAAAGGGAUUCAAUGAAUAUGACAAGGGCUGCGUGCAGAAGCAUGAAGAAGUGGGGUUUUGUUGAUUUAUUUGGUUGGUUUUGAGUAAGGGUUUCAGAUAGCCCAAGCUGGCUUCAAAUUUACUGUGAAGCUGAGGCUGACCUUAACUUCUAAUCCUCCUGCCUCCGCUUUGGAAGCAGUUUUGUGCCAUCGAACUCAGGUGCUGGGGCGGGAAUGCAGGGCUUUAUGCACUGGAGACAAAUAUUCCAGCAUCUGACUUACAUCCAGCUCAAAACGACUGGGUUUCACUGUUUGGAAUUUCUAACUAGUGAUCUUUCUAAACUCACUCAUUAUUCUAACAAAGUACAAAUCCUUGGGUCUUCCUGUGUGUGACAGAAGGGGUACAUGUGUACAUUAUGUGCAAUUAUAUGUGCCUAUGUGCAGGUGUGGAUGUCAGGAAGGGUCAGGUGUCCUGCUCUGUCACUCUCUGCUUUAUCCCUUGAGACGGUCUGUCUCUCACUGGCCCUAGAGCUGGCAGUGGCUGUCCUACAGUUCUGGGGUUACAAGCAGACGUGGACGCUUGCCCAGCUUUUUUACAUAGGUUUAAAGGUUCCUAUGCUUGUGAAACAAGCGCUCUUACCUAACUCACCAUCUCUCUAGCACCAAAUUGGGUUUUCUAUGUGUAAGUAAUAAGAGUUUUGUGUCUUCCAGUCCCUAAUUUUAAUUGUUUCCCAAACCUUACUGAACUUCCUAGAGUGUAUGUAUAAUGCUUAAUAAACGUUUUCAAGGGGAAAGUGUUCUUUCUCUUAUCAUGGAGUAUUAUAUCUGCUUCAAGUCUGCAUUUUCUUGAUCCGUUUUGCUGGGUAAAGAUAGUUCCUUUCUGUGUGUACUUUGGCCUGGGGUUUACGUAUGUGAUCCUGUCUUUUUCUGAAUCCAUUCAAGAGACUCUAAGUUUCCCUCUUUAGAUUUGUAUGUACAGUAUUUAGGGUAGAAAAGAACAGCCUUUUCCUUUCUCAUGUUAUUCUUUUAUGGAUUUAGCAUUGAAGUUACAUACUAAUAUAAAGUGAGAUGAAAAAUCUAUCUCUUUUUGUGCAUUCUGUGGAAAAUAAAGAAUGAAACACCUGAGUUUUCCUUGUUUGAACGCCUAUUAAGCUUUGACAGGUUGAUUUAAAACAAACCUUUACAUUCACAUUGGCAAGAAGUUACUUAGUUUCUUAAAAGUCGUGUGCACCAGGUGUGUAGCUGAACUGCCUCCUUCACUUUUAACCAUUCCUUUCCAAAAAUAAGUAAAUAAAAUGUUAGGCUCUCGUUUGCAGUCAUUACCUCUC
Molecule: long non-coding RNA, 3597 nt
Organism: Rattus norvegicus (Norway rat)
Lineage: Eukaryota; Metazoa; Chordata; Mammalia; Rodentia; Muridae
Source: RefSeq, a predicted model, not a curated record